CCCUUAGAUGUUCUGGGCCGCACGCGUGCUACACUGAGUGGAUCAGCGGGUCAGGUUGCGCGAAAGCGUUUCCUAAUCUUUAAAUCCGCUCGUGAUGGGGAUUGACGGUUGCAAUUUUCUGUCAUGAACGAGGAAUACCUUGUAAGCGCGGGUCAUCAUCCCGCGCUGAAUACGUCCCUGCCCUUUGUACACACCGCCCGUCGCUCCUACCGAUUGAGUGGUCCGGUGAGGCUUUGGGAUCUGAGCGGAAAGAGCGUUUCGCUGUUUCUGCUCGGAAAACUCAGUCGAACCUUAUCAUUUAGAGGAAGGAGAAAUCGUAACA
This 322-nucleotide ribosomal RNA is filed under the name uncultured eukaryote. Its description in RNAcentral is "partial 18S ribosomal RNA". It matches the Rfam family "Eukaryotic small subunit ribosomal RNA", at positions 1470 to 1796 of the family's 1831-position model. The record is from RNAcentral.